This 1145-nucleotide ribosomal RNA is filed under the name uncultured bacterium. RNAcentral's name for it is "partial 16S ribosomal RNA". It matches the Rfam family "Bacterial small subunit ribosomal RNA", at positions 28 to 1182 of the family's 1533-position model. The record is from RNAcentral.
GAUGAACGCUGGCGGCGUGCUUAACACAUGCAAGUCGAACGAUUAAAGCUCACGUCGGUGAGUGUAUAGAGUGGCGAACGGGUGAGUAACACGUGGGAAACCUGCCCCUUUCUUCGGGAUAACUUCGGGAAACCGUUGCUAAUACCGGAUACUCCGGGAUGGUCGCAUGGCCGACCCGGGAAAGCUUUAUGUGGAAAGGGAUGGUCCCGCGGCCCAUUAGCUUGUUGGUGGGGUAAUGGCUACCAAGGCGAUGAUGGGUAGCCGAGCUGAGAGGCUGAUCGGCCACACUGGGACUGAGACACGGCCCAGACUCCUACGGGAGGCAGCAGUGGGGAAUUUUUGCGCAAUGGGCGAAAGCCUGACGCASCAACGCCGCGUGCGGGACKAAKGCUCUYRGGUCGUAAACCGCUUUCAGCAGGGAUGAAAUUGACAGUACCUGCAGAAGAAGCCCCGGCUAAAUACSUGCCARCAGCCGCGGUAAUACGUAUGGGGCAAGCGUUAUCCGGAUUCAUUGGGCGUAAAGAGCGCGUAGGCGGAUUGUUAAGUCRGAUGUGAAAACCGGGGGYUCAACCCGCGGCCUGCAUCUGAAACUGGCAGUCUUGAGUCUGGUAGAGGAAAGUGGAAUUCCCASUGUAGCGGUGAAAUGCGCAGAUAUUGGGAGGAACACCAGUGGCGAAGGCGGCUUUCUGGGCCACKACUGACGCUGASGCGCGAAAGCUAGGGGAGCAAACAGGAUUAGAUACCCUGGUAGUCCUAGCCGUAAACGAUGGGCACUAGGUGUGGGGGGUCAUCAACUCYCUCCGUGCCRCAGCUAACGCACUAAGUGCYCCGCCUGGGGAGUACGGGYCGCAAGGCUAAAACUCAAAGGAAUUGACGGGUGCCCSGYACAGCMRKCGGAGCAUGKKGCCUUAAUUCGAAGCACGCGAAGAUCCUAACCAGGCUUUGACAUGCAGGGUAAACGGCSGGAAACGUCCCGUUCUGAGAGGACYCUGCWMAGUGGUGCAUGACUGUUCGUCAGCUUCSGUCCUGARAUKUUGGAUUAGUCCGCCACCGAGCGCAACCCGUGUCGUAUGUUGCCAGCCAUUACCUGGGGACUCAUACAGAAAMUUGGCGGCGCUCWAGGCUCSGAAAGAACAGGUGGGCGA